Molecule: ribosomal RNA, 494 nt
Filed under: uncultured bacterium
Lineage: Bacteria
Description: partial 16S ribosomal RNA
Rfam family: Bacterial small subunit ribosomal RNA
Source: RNAcentral
GACGAACGCUGGCGGCGUGCUUAACACAUGCAAGUCGAACGGAAAGGCCUGCUUUCCCUUGUGGAUUGCGGGUACUCGAGUGGCGAACGGGUGAGUAACACGUGAGUGAUCUGCCCCCAACUUGGGUAUAAGCCUGGGAAACUGGGUCUAAUUCCCGAUAGGACUGCAGGGUGGUGCCUGUGGUUGAAAACGAUUUUCUAGUGGUUGGGGAUGAGCUCGCGGCCUAUCAGCUUGUUGGUGGGGUAAUGGCCUACCAAGGCGGCGACGGGUAGCCGGCCUGGGAGGCUGGACGGCCACAUUGGGACUGAGAUACGGCCCAGACUCCUACGGGAGGCAGCAGUGGGGAAUAUUGCACAAUGGGCGGAAGCCUGAUGCAGCGACGCCGCGUGGAGGAUGACGGCCUUCGGGUUGUAAACUCCUUUCGACCGCGAGGAAGCCACCUGGUUGGAAGGGUGGUGACGGUAGUGGUAGAAGAAGCACCGGCUAACUACGUG